UACGUAGGUGGCAAGCGUUGUCCGGAUUUACUGGGCGUAAAGGAUGCGUAGGCGGAUACUUAAGUCAGAUGUGAAAUUCCCGGGCUUAACUUGGGAACUGCAUUUGAAACUGGGUAUCUAGAGUGUGGGAGAGGAAAGUGGAAUUCCUAGUGUAGCGGUGAAAUGCGUAGAGAUUAGGAAGAACACCAGUGGCGAAGGCGACUUUCUGGACCAUAACUGACGCUGAGGCAUGAAAGCGUGGGGAGCAAACAGG
This 253-nucleotide ribosomal RNA is filed under the name uncultured bacterium. Its description in RNAcentral is "partial 16S ribosomal RNA". It matches the Rfam family "Bacterial small subunit ribosomal RNA", at positions 524 to 776 of the family's 1533-position model. The record is from RNAcentral.